UACAGAGGUCUCAAGCGUUGUUCGGAUUCAUUGGGCGUAAAGGGUGCGUAGGUGGCGCCGUAAGUCGGGUGUGAAAUUUCGGAGCUUAACUCCGAAACUGCAUUCGAUACUGCGGUGCUUGAGGACUGGAGAGGAGACUGGAAUUCAUGGUGUAGCAGUGAAAUGCGUAGAGAUCAUGAGGAAGACCAGCGGCGAAGGCGGGUCUCUGGACAGUUCCUGACACUGAGGCACGAAGGCCAGGGGAGCGAACGGG
This 253-nucleotide ribosomal RNA is filed under the name uncultured bacterium. RNAcentral's name for it is "partial 16S ribosomal RNA". It matches the Rfam family "Bacterial small subunit ribosomal RNA", at positions 524 to 776 of the family's 1533-position model. The record is from RNAcentral.